UCCUUGUCGGGUAAGUUCCGACCUGCACGAAUGGCGUAAUCAUGGCCACGCUGUCUCCACCCAGGACUCAGUGAAAUUGAAAUCGCAGUGAAGAUGCUGUGUACCCGCACCUAGACGGAAAGACCCCGUGAACCUUUACUACAGCUUGGCACUGAACAUUGACCCUACAUGUGUAGGAUAGGUGGGAGGCUAUGAAUCACGUACGCUAGUAUGUGUGGAGCCGUCCUUGAAAUACCACCCUUGUAUGUUUGAUGUUCUAACAUUGGUCCCUUAUCGGGAUUGUGGACAGUGUCUGGUGGGUAGUUUGACUGGGGCGGUCUCCUCCCAAAUAGUAACGGAGGAGCACGAAGGUUAGCUAAUCACGGUCGGACAUCGUGAGGUUAGUGCAAUGGCAUAAGCUAGCUUAACUGCGAGACAGACACGUCGAGCAGGUACGAAAGUAGGUCUUAGUGAUCCGGUGGUUCUGUAUGGAAGGGCCAUCGCUCAACGGAUCAAAGGUACUCUGGGGA
RNAcentral lists this ribosomal RNA (509 nucleotides) under Pseudopedinella elastica. RNAcentral describes it as "partial Bacterial large subunit ribosomal RNA". It matches the Rfam family "Bacterial large subunit ribosomal RNA", at positions 1966 to 2474 of the family's 2925-position model. The record is from RNAcentral. Lineage: Eukaryota; Dictyochophyceae; Pedinellales.